AACUUUAUAGUCAAUAUUUAUGAUAUUAAAUUGCAAGUUUAAAGUAGUAUAAAUUACUAAGSUUU
RNAcentral lists this transfer RNA (65 nucleotides) under Agapetus fuscipes. Its description in RNAcentral is "tRNA-Cys". Lineage: Eukaryota; Metazoa; Arthropoda; Insecta; Trichoptera; Glossosomatidae. The record is from RNAcentral.